This 75-nucleotide transfer RNA is filed under the name Coriobacteriaceae bacterium. RNAcentral describes it as "tRNA-Val". It matches the Rfam family "tRNA". Rfam says of the family: Transfer RNA (tRNA) molecules are approximately 80 nucleotides in length. Their secondary structure includes four short double-helical elements and three loops (D, anti-codon, and T loops). Lineage: Bacteria; Bacillati; Actinomycetota; Coriobacteriia; Coriobacteriales; Coriobacteriaceae. The record is from RNAcentral.
GGGCGUUUGGCUCAGCGGGAGAGCACUACCUUCACACGGUAGGGGUCACUGGUUCAAAUCCAGUAACGCCCACCA